RNAcentral lists this long non-coding RNA (762 nucleotides) under Capsicum annuum. Its description in RNAcentral is "long non-coding RNA (CANN_LNC009268)". Lineage: Eukaryota; Viridiplantae; Streptophyta; Magnoliopsida; Solanales; Solanaceae. The record is from RNAcentral.
GUCGUUUAAAGAGUCUCGUUUAGGGGGAGAUUUUCUCCCAAUAAUUUUUAAUAUUUUUUAUAUUAGUUUUCAAUAUAUAGGUCACUUGACCAAAUUACAUCAAUAAUAUGUUUUUUAGUAUGUUUUUCUUUGUCGUCUGAAUUAUUACUACGAUAGUUUGCAACUAAUAGCUUCCGCAUGACGCCCUCUCGAUUUCGAACCCAACAAGUGGUAUCAGAGUCUAUGGUUCAAUGAUCCGAUGGUUCAAAUUGAGGACAUGUUGAGAACAAAGUUGCAACAAAUUUGAUGAUAAUGAAGAUAUAUGUCCAAAAACUACAUAUGGAGACGAUUGUCAAUCAUAUUUUCAAUAAUCCUGCUAUUACGUAUUUGAAAAGGAAGCUUACUUUUAACCCUAUAAAGGGCUCCAAUGUUUUUAAUCCGAAAGGACUUAUAUAUUUUUAACCCAAAAAGCCUCAAUUUUUAAAGCAUGUCAAACAACAGUGAUAUAUGAAGAAUACAUAUGAAGAACGAAGAUUAUGCACAAGAAGAAGGAGGAUCAAGAAUAUUUUGAAGAAAAUCAAGCAAAAAAGGGGAGUUUUGUUAGGGUUUUGCCCUAAUUUUCUUACUAUAUUUAAGUUUUACUUUUUUUUAGAAGGAAAAUAAAAGUUACCAUAAUUACUUUUACUUUUCCUAAAAAAAAAAAUAUAUAAUUCUUUUCCAUAUUUGGCUAACGUCUUUCUUGGAGGAAAAGUUUUGAAUAUCUAUAAAUAGAAGACUCCCUAC